GGGUUGUGAGGUUAAGCGACUAAGCGUACACGGUGGAUGCCCUGGCAGUCAGAGGCGAUGAAGGACGUGCUAAUCUGCGAUAAGCGUCGGUAAGGUGAUAUGAACCGUUAUAACCGGCGAUUUCCGAAUGGGGAAACCCAGUGUGAUUCGUCACACUAUCAUUAACUGAAUCCAUAGGUUAAUGAGGCGAACCGGGGGAACUGAAACAUCUAAGUACCCCGAGGAAAAGAAAUCAACCGAGAUUCCCCCAGUAGCGGCGAGCGAACGGGGAGCAGCCCAGAGCCUGAAUCAGUGUGUGUGUUAGUGGAAGCGUCUGGAAAGGCGCGCGAUACAGGGUGACAGCCCCGUACACAAAAAUGCACAUACUGUGAGCUCGAUGAGUAGGGCGGGACACGUGGUAUCCUGUCUGAAUAUGGGGGACCAUCCUCCAAGGCUAAAUACUCCUGACUGACCGAUAGUGAACCAGUACCGUGAGGGAAAGGCGAAAAGAACCCCGGCGAGGGGAGUGAAAAAGAACCUGAAACCGUGUACGUACAAGCAGUGGGAGCCUCUUUUAUGGGGUGACUGCGUACCUUUUGUAUAAUGGGUCAGCGACUUAUAUUCUGUAGCAAGGUUAACCGAAUAGGGGAGCCGAAGGGAAACCGAGUCUUAACCGGGCGUUAAGUUGCAGGGUAUAGACCCGAAACCCGGUGAUCUAGCCAUGGGCAGGUUGAAGGUUGGGUAACACUAACUGGAGGACCGAACCGACUAAUGUUGAAAAAUUAGCGGAUGACUUGUGGCUGGGGGUGAAAGGCCAAUCAAACCGGGAGAUAGCUGGUUCUCCCCGAAAGCUAUUUAGGUAGCGCCUCGUGAAUUCAUCUCCGGGGGUAGAGCACUGUUUCGGCAAGGGGGUCAUCCCGACUUACCAACCCGAUGCAAACUGCGAAUACCGGAGAAUGUUAUCACGGGAGACACACGGCGGGUGCUAACGUCCGUCGUGAAGAGGGAAACAACCCAGACCGCCAGCUAAGGUCCCAAAGUCAUGGUUAAGUGGGAAACGAUGUGGGAAGGCCCAGACAGCCAGGAUGUUGGCUUAGAAGCAGCCAUCAUUUAAAGAAAGCGUAAUAGCUCACUGGUCGAGUCGGCCUGCGCGGAAGAUGUAACGGGGCUAAACCAUGCACCGAAGCUGCGGCAGCGACACUGUGUGUUGUUGGGUAGGGGAGCGUUCUGUAAGCCUGUGAAGGUGUACUGUGAGGUAUGCUGGAGGUAUCAGAAGUGCGAAUGCUGACAUAAGUAACGAUAAAGCGGGUGAAAAGCCCGCUCGCCGGAAGACCAAGGGUUCCUGUCCAACGUUAAUCGGGGCAGGGUGAGUCGACCCCUAAGGCGAGGCCGAAAGGCGUAGUCGAUGGGAAACAGGUUAAUAUUCCUGUACUUGGUGUUACUGCGAAGGGGGACGGAGAAGGCUAUGUUGGCCGGGCGACGGUUGUCCCGGUUUAAGCGUGUAGGCUGGUUUUCCAGGCAAAUCCGGAAAAUCAAGGCUGAGGCGUGAUGACGAGGCACUACGGUGCUGAAGCAACAAAUGCCCUGCUUCCAGGAAAAGCCUCUAAGCAUCAGGUAACAUCAAAUCGUACCCCAAACCGACACAGGUGGUCAGGUAGAGAAUACCAAGGCGCUUGAGAGAACUCGGGUGAAGGAACUAGGCAAAAUGGUGCCGUAACUUCGGGAGAAGGCACGCUGAUAUGUAGGUGAAGUCCCUCGCGGAUGGAGCUGAAAUCAGUCGAAGAUACCAGCUGGCUGCAACUGUUUAUUAAAAACACAGCACUGUGCAAACACGAAAGUGGACGUAUACGGUGUGACGCCUGCCCGGUGCCGGAAGGUUAAUUGAUGGGGUCAGCGCAAGCGAAGCUCUUGAUCGAAGCCCCGGUAAACGGCGGCCGUAACUAUAACGGUCCUAAGGUAGCGAAAUUCCUUGUCGGGUAAGUUCCGACCUGCACGAAUGGCGUAAUGAUGGCCAGGCUGUCUCCACCCGAGACUCAGUGAAAUUGAACUCGCUGUGAAGAUGCAGUGUACCCGCGGCAAGACGGAAAGACCCCGUGAACCUUUACUAUAGCUUGACACUGAACAUUGAGCCUUGAUGUGUAGGAUAGGUGGGAGGCUUUGAAGUGUGGACGCCAGUCUGCAUGGAGCCGACCUUGAAAUACCACCCUUUAAUGUUUGAUGUUCUAACGUGGACCCGUGAUCCGGGUUGCGGACAGUGUCUGGUGGGUAGUUUGACUGGGGCGGUCUCCUCCUAAAGAGUAACGGAGGAGCACGAAGGUUGGCUAAUCCUGGUCGGACAUCAGGAGGUUAGUGCAAUGGCAUAAGCCAGCUUGACUGCGAGCGUGACGGCGCGAGCAGGUGCGAAAGCAGGUCAUAGUGAUCCGGUGGUUCUGAAUGGAAGGGCCAUCGCUCAACGGAUAAAAGGUACUCCGGGGAUAACAGGCUGAUACCGCCCAAGAGUUCAUAUCGACGGCGGUGUUUGGCACCUCGAUGUCGGCUCAUCACAUCCUGGGGCUGAAGUAGGUCCCAAGGGUAUGGCUGUUCGCCAUUUAAAGUGGUACGCGAGCUGGGUUUAGAACGUCGUGAGACAGUUCGGUCCCUAUCUGCCGUGGGCGCUGGAGAACUGAGGGGGCUGCUCCUAGUACGAGAGGACCGGAGUGGACGCAUCACUGGUGUUCGGGUUGUCAUGCCAAUGGCACUGCCCGGUAGCUAAAUGCGGAAGAGAUAAGUGCUGAAAGCAUCUAAGCACGAAACUUGCCCCGAGAUGAGUUCUCCCUGACCCUUUAAGGGUCCUGAAGGAACGUUGAAGACGACGACGUUGAUAGGCCGGGUGUGUAAGCGCAGCGAUGCGUUGAGCUAACCGGUACUAAUGAACCGUGAGGCUUAACCUUACAACGCCGAAGGUGUUU
RNAcentral lists this ribosomal RNA (2927 nucleotides) under Escherichia coli. RNAcentral describes it as "23S ribosomal RNA". It matches the Rfam family "Bacterial large subunit ribosomal RNA". The record is from RNAcentral. Lineage: Bacteria; Pseudomonadati; Pseudomonadota; Gammaproteobacteria; Enterobacterales; Enterobacteriaceae.